AGUGAACGCUGGCGGUAGGCCUAACACAUGCAAGUCGAACGGCAGCACAGGAGAGCUUGCUCUCUGGGUGGCGAGUGGCGGACGGGUGAGGAAUACAUCGGAGUCUACUUUUUCGUGGGGGAUAACGUAGGGAAACUUACGCUAAUACCGCAUACGACCUACGGGUGAAAGCAGGGGACCUUCGGGCCUUGCGCGAUUGAAUGAGCCGAUGUCGGAUUAGCUAGUUGGCGGGGUAAAGGCCCACCAAGGCGACGAUCCGUAGCUGGUCUGAGAGGAGGAUCAGCCACACUGGAACUGAGACACGGUCCAGACUCCUACGGGAGGCAGCAGUGGGGAAUAUUGGACAAUGGGCGCAAGCCUGAUCCAGCCAUACCGCGUGGGUGAAGAAGGCCUUCGGGUUGUAAAGCCCUUUUGUUGGGAAAGAAAUCCAGCUGGCUAAUACCCGGUUGGGAUGACGGUACCCAAAGAAUAAGCACCGGCUAACUUCGUGCCAGCAGCCGCAGUAA
This 506-nucleotide ribosomal RNA is filed under the name uncultured bacterium. Its description in RNAcentral is "partial 16S ribosomal RNA". It matches the Rfam family "Bacterial small subunit ribosomal RNA", at positions 29 to 523 of the family's 1533-position model. The record is from RNAcentral.